AAGUUUAAAUGACUUUUUUAGGACCACAAGGCUAGUAAUAGAGCCUAGAGUCAACUCUUCUGGUUUAAAAUUCAGGAGUCAAGUUUCCUAUGGUUUCUUUUUUUAGAGCCACAUGGGAAAUUCAUAUCCUGUUCAUGAUGGACCCUCAGCUAAAUGAACAAAGAAAAUGAAAUAGGAACUGGAUCUAUGAUUCUAUCCAUAGAGGGAACUCCAAGAUUAGGAAAUGUCCUCUACUUAUGAAGGAUACCAUCUCUUCUGCAGUUUUUAAAUGUAAAGAGUUUCUCCUGUUAUAGCACCUAUUCCAGAAUGAGGCAUUUAAGAUAUGGUAUCACUGGCUUCAGAUCUUUUUGAUAAACUGGAUCCUUCUACUUACCUGCCAUUUGACCCUUCAAAAAUAUACUCUGACUCCUAGACUGUAAGUAUCCAUUUAGGAAACUGGUGGGCAAUCAUUGGUUGCCCAAUAUAUGGGAUAGUUAUGAACAGUUUCUCUACAGAGAGAGGACUGGUACACUGUCUCUUUUUUAUUACCCUCAACGGAUCUUUGCAUAAUGCCUUUAGAGUUCUUUAUUCCACAAGUCCAUGUGAGUCAUAGCUCAUGUGCCCCAUCAGUAGAAAAAUAAAAACCGGC
Sarcophilus harrisii (Tasmanian devil) is the source of this 628-nucleotide long non-coding RNA. RefSeq lists it as uncharacterized. Lineage: Eukaryota; Metazoa; Chordata; Mammalia; Dasyuromorphia; Dasyuridae. The transcript has 3 exons. The record is from RefSeq and is a predicted model, not a curated record.